UUCGUUGAUGAUUUUUAGAGACGGCUAGAAUACCUGACUCAAUGGGGAAUAACCAAUUAGGUUCAACGACGAUUCCUAGAAACGAUUCGAAUACCUGACUUAGCUAGAGAUAAACAAGGUAUGAUGACGAUUCUUAGCGACGGCUAGAAUGCCCGACUUUGUGGGGGAAAGAAGUCAUUCAGUGAUGAUUCUCACCAACGAAUGGAAUACCUUACUUGACUAGGGAUAAUAUCCUCAAGGAGGUAAAAUGAUGAUUCUGAG
Molecule: long non-coding RNA, 261 nt
Filed under: Lathyrus oleraceus (garden pea)
Lineage: Eukaryota; Viridiplantae; Streptophyta; Magnoliopsida; Fabales; Fabaceae
Description: Pisum sativum (pea) long non-coding RNA (PSAT_LNC013497)
Source: RNAcentral